Molecule: ribosomal RNA, 523 nt
Filed under: uncultured bacterium
Lineage: Bacteria
Description: bacterial SSU rRNA
Rfam family: Bacterial small subunit ribosomal RNA
Source: RNAcentral
UGGGGAAUAUUGGACAAUGGACCAAGAGUCUGAUCCAGCAAUUCUGUGUGCACGAUGAAGUUUUUCGGAAUGUAGAGUGCUUUCAGUUGGGAAGAAAGAAAUGACGGUACCGACAGAAGAAGUGACGGCUAAAUACGUGCCAGCAGCCGCGGUAAUACGUAUGUCACGAGCGUUAUCCGGAUUUAUUGGGCGUAAAGCGCGUCUAGGUGGUUAUAUAAGUCUGAUGUGAAAAUGCAGGGCUCAACUCUGUAUUGCGUUGGAAACUGUAUAACUAGAGUACUGGAGAGGUAAGCGGAACUACAAGUGUAGAGGUGAAAUUCGUAGAUAUUUGUAGGAAUGCCGAUGGGGAAGCCAGCUUACUGGACAGAUACUGACGCUGAAGCGCGAAAGCGUGGGUAGCAAACAGGAUUAGAUACCCUGGUAGUCCACGCCGUAAACGAUGAUUACUAGGUGUUGGGGGUCGAACCUCAGCGCCCAAGCAAACGCGAUAAGUAAUCCGCCUGGGGAGUACGUACGCAAGUAU